UGGGGAUGACGUCAAGUCAUCAUGGCCCUUACGGCCUGGGCUACACACGUGCGUACAAUGGUCGGUACAAAGGGUUGCCAAGCCGCGAGGUGGAAGCUAAUCCCAUAAAACCGAUCGUAGUCCGGAUCGCAGUCUGCAACUCGACUGCGUGAAGUCGGAAUCGCUAGUAAUCGUGAAUCAGAAUGUCACGGUGAAUACGUUCCCGGGCCUU
This 211-nucleotide ribosomal RNA is filed under the name uncultured Pseudomonas sp. Its description in RNAcentral is "partial 16S ribosomal RNA". It matches the Rfam family "Bacterial small subunit ribosomal RNA", at positions 1174 to 1382 of the family's 1533-position model. The record is from RNAcentral. Lineage: Bacteria; Pseudomonadati; Pseudomonadota; Gammaproteobacteria; Pseudomonadales; Pseudomonadaceae.